UAACGAAUCUUCCGCAAUGGGCGCAAGCCUGACGGAGCAAUGCCGCGUGUGGGAUGAAGCGUCUCUGACGUGUAAACCACUGUCAGGGGUUAGAAACAAUGAUCAACCCCAAAGGAAGUGGCGACUAACUCUGUGCCAGCAGUCGCGGUAAUACAGAGGCCACAAGCGUUAGUCGGAAUCACUGGGCUUAAAGGGUGCGUAGGCUGGUCCGCAAGCGUCUUGUGAAAGCCCUCGGCUCAACCGAGGAACAGCAGGGCGAACUGCGGAUCUUGAGGCAGGUAGGGGUCGCGAGAACAGUAGGUGGAGCGGUGAAAUGCGUAGAUAUCUACUGGAAUGCCGAUGGUGAAGACGCGCGACUGGGCCUGUCCUGACGCUGAGGCACGAAAGCGUGGGGAGCAAACAGGAUUAGAUACCCUUGUAGUCCCUGAGCGGGCUGGCAAGGCGCAU
This 447-nucleotide ribosomal RNA is filed under the name uncultured bacterium. RNAcentral describes it as "bacterial SSU rRNA". It matches the Rfam family "Bacterial small subunit ribosomal RNA", at positions 355 to 825 of the family's 1533-position model. The record is from RNAcentral.